This is an RNA transcript of Mirounga angustirostris (Northern elephant seal), 7553 nucleotides long. It is a transcript of the gene named peptidase M20 domain containing 2, with no coding region annotated. The record is from RefSeq and is a predicted model, not a curated record. NCBI's taxonomy places the organism in Eukaryota, Metazoa, Chordata, Mammalia, Carnivora, Phocidae. The transcript has 9 exons.
CCACUUGGUCUGUGUCUGAUGCCAAUUAACCAAUAAAACCGUCCUCAUUCUGCUGCUGUGGGAAAUAAGCAACAGCAGAAAAGUAAUAAUGACUUUAAAGCAUAAUUCAGUUGUAAGCACAGCCAAGGAGACGGAAGAGAGACGAGUCCCUCAACAGCACUACGUCCCAGCGCUCUCCCCUGGGGGCGCUUGCCAGCUUCCCCUCCCCCACUCCCCUCCUCCCGCGGACGGGAGCAUUUGCCGGGAGCAGAAGGGGCGGACCCUGUACCGGGCGAGGAGCUGGAGGCGGGUCCCGGGGCUCGGGGGCGGUGCUCCCGGGAGUCGCGGAGCCGAUCUCUGGGCCUCCGGCGGGUGCUCGCGAACGCCGGAGCGUGCACGGAAGCGGUGAGCAGCUAGGAGGGAGCCGCCGAGCGGGCAGUCUAUCGGAGUGCUGGCAGGUCACCGGCUGCGCGCACGAUGAGACCCGGAGAGGAGCGGCCCGUGGAGGGGGGCGCCUGUGCCGGCGUCUCCGAGCUGGAGCUGCUGAAGCUGCGCGCCGCGGAGCGCAUUGACAAGGCGGCCGAGCGGCUGGGGGCCCUGAGCCGCGCGAUCUGGAGCGAGCCCGAGCUGGCCUACGAGGAGCACCGGGCCCACGGCGUGAUGACACGCUUCUUCGAGUGCGAGCCUCCGGCCGCCUCGUGGUCCGUGCAGCCGCACUACCACCUGGCCACGGCCUUCCGCGCCGAGUGGGGGCCGCCGGGGGUCGGCGCGGCGCCGCGCCCCCUGCAGCUGGGCUUCCUCUGCGAGUACGACGCGCUGCCCGGCAUCGGGCACGCCUGCGGCCACAACCUGAUCGCCGAGGUCGGGGCGGCGGCCGCGCUGGGCGUGAAGGGGGCCCUGGAGAGCCUCCCCGGGCCGCCUCCGCCGGUGAAGGUAAUUGUCCUGGGAACCCCUGCAGAAGAAGAUGGUGGUGGCAAAAUUGAUUUAAUUGAAGCAGGGGCUUUUAAAAAUCUUGAUGUUGUUUUUAUGGCCCACCCAUCCCAAGAGAAUGCUGCUUAUCUACCUGAUGUGGCUGAACAUGACGUGACUGUGAAAUACUACGGAAAAGCAUCUCAUGCUGCUGCAUAUCCCUGGGAAGGAGUAAAUGCAUUAGAUGCUGCUGUCCUGGCUUACAACAAUCUGUCCGUGUUGAGACAGCAAAUGAAACCAACCUGGAGAGUUCAUGGCAUAAUAAAAAGUGGUGGUGUAAAACCCAAUAUCAUUCCCUCUUAUUCUGAAUUAAUCUAUUACUUCCGUGCACCCUCAAUGAAAGAACUUCCAGUUUUGACCAAAAAGGCAGAAGAUUGCUUCAGAGCUGCAGCUUUGGCUACUGGGUGUACAGUAGAAAUUAAAGGUGGAGCACAUGAUUAUUACAAUGUUCUUCCCAAUAAGAGCCUCUGGAAAGCUUAUAUUGAAAACGGAAAAAAACUUGGAAUAGAAUUUAUUUCAGAAGAUGCAAUGUUGAAUGGCUCUUCAGGAUCUACUGAUUUUGGAAAUGUUACUUUUGUGGUUCCUGGGAUUCAUCCAUAUUUUUACAUUGGAUCUGAUGCCUUAAAUCAUACAGAACAAUAUACGGAAGCUGUAGGAUCACAGGAAGCUCAGUUCUACACUUUACGUACCGCCAAAGCUUUGGCAAUGACUGCAUUGGAUGUUAUUUUUAAACCAGAGUUGUUACAGAGAAUCAAAGAGGACUUUAAAUUGAAACUUCAAGAAGAGUUUUUAAAUACAGUAGAAUAAAAGGAAGAUCUAGGAGCCACUUACGGAUCAUUAAGAAGUGUCUGAAAGACACACUUGAGAUGUUCCUUACCUAAAGGGACUCUGGCGGGCACAGCUCUGCGGUCAAUCCAGAAGGACACCCAGGACAGCAUGACCAUCAGGGUGGCAGGAAAGUAAGUUUGGAGCAAGAAGAAGAAGAUGUGGCGUCGCAACGUGAAGUUAAUGUACAGACGGUUGUACCAGCCUGGGGGACACAGGAAGAAAAGAUCACACACACCAUAGCGACUCAGCUCCUGCACACAACCCAUUCUAUUCAGGGACUCAUAAACGCCUUAGACACUUCACUGGAAACUUGCCAUACCUUUACAGAGUGGAAGUGAGAAAAACCAUGGGAUAGAGUGAUUAUGAUAACCUACACCACAUGGGUGAGUCCCUCUCAAGACAUCUUUGGCCCCUGUCCUGUACGGAAAGGAAGCCCCUUGACAAGUCCAUUUAAGACUCUUGUUACUCAUCGUUUGGGGCAGAGUCCAGCAAUGUCACCAUCACUUGGCUGCUUGUUGGAAAUGCAGACUCUCAGCCCCACCCCAGAUCUACUGCAUCAUAAUCUCCUUUUUUAACAAUACUCUCCACAUGAUUUAUAUGCAUGAUAAAGUUUGAAAAACAUUUAUUUAAACAAGCCCCUUUAGAUUUCUUUAUGGAGGACAGUGAUUUAAAGUUGAAAUACCAAGCUAACCCAAACAUUGCAUUUAGGAACAGCGAACGAUCACAGAUGCAGCUAUGCUUUAGCUCUACCCUUGUGUUCUCUACAAGGAGGAAAUACGCAUGGAGGCGUUCAAAGGAACAAGAGAAAGAUGGAAGGAAAAGGAAAAAGCAGGAUAAACCGGGGAUGACGAGGACUGAACAUGAAAUGGAGACUUGGCAACACUAACUUGAAAGCCUGGCAUCUUGGACAAUCAUAAUGCAAUGGUUAUCAUCGUAAAGCAGUCGCAGAGAGAGACUGUGGAAGUGCUGUAGACUGAAUGUGUUCCGCCCCAAAUCUGUAUGUUGAAACCUAAUCCUCCAUGUGAUGGUAUUUGGAGGUGGGGCCUUCAGAAGUGAUUACAUCAUGAGUGGGAUUAGUGCCCCUCUAAAAGAGACCCCAGAUUGCUCCCUUGCGCCUUCCCCCAUGUGAGGACACAGCGAGAAGGUGGCUGUCUAUGAACUAGGAAGCAGGCUCUCAUCGGACACUGACUCUGCCAGCAUCUUGAUCUUGGACUUCCCAGCUUCCAGAACUGUGAGAAGUAAAUUUCUGUUGUUUAGAAGCCACCUGGUCUACGGUAUUUUGUGAUAGCAGCCCAAACAGACUAAGACAAGAGGAAGUGUCAGAAUGCUAAGGAUGAAGUGGGGGUCCCCCAAAAACCAAGACUCCUGAGUGAUGUGUACAGAAGAUGAGAUAUGCUGGAUUUCCGUGAUAUGCUGGGAAUAAAAGAGUGCCCCCUGUUACAGAUUAGAAGACUUAAAAGGUUGCACUUCCUGUGCAGUCAUGCAGUGUUUGGGCAAUAGAAACUACAUAAAGAGGGGCGCCUGGGUGGCUCAGUCGGCUAAGCAUCUGACUCUUGAUCUCAGCUCAGGUCUUGAUCUCAGGGUCAUGAGUUCAAGCCCUGCGUUGGGCUCCACGCUGGGCAUGGAGCUACAGGCAGGAAGGAAGGAAGGAAGGAAGGAAAGAAAGAAAGAGAAAGAAGAAAGAAAAAGAAAGAAAGAAAGAAAAAGAAAAGAAAGAAAGAAAGAAAAGAAAGAAAGAAGAAAGAAAGAAAGAAAGAAAGAAAGAAAGAAAGAAAGAAAGAAAGAAAGAAAGAAAGAAAGAAAGAAAGAAAGGAAGGAGGGGGAAGGAAGGAGGAAGGAAGGAAGGAAGGAAGGAAGAAAGGAGAGAGGGAGGGAGGGAGGAAGGAAGGAAGGAAGAAAGAAAGAAAGGAAAAAAGGAAGGAAGGAAGGAAGAAAGAAAGAAAGAAAGAGAGAGAGAGAGAAAGAAAGAAAAAAAGAAAGAAAGAAAGAAAGAAAGAAGAAAGAAACUACAUAAAGAUUUGAAUAAUAUCAUCCUGAAGGGUGAUUAGUCAAGACCGAGGCUUCCGGGUGCUCCUACCCAGGAUAAAAUCACAGUGAGUCCCCCAGAAAGGACCACGCCCUCUGGUGCUGCCACAUCCUGACCCUCGCCUACUUUAGGUGAGCACACACGUUGACUCCAGGUGAGCAAACCUACCUGCAGCCUGGACAGAACGGAGGUAAAACCUAACAGUGGCCAGUCCAGUCUGCUCACGUGUUAAACAGUUCUUUCUGGAGCUCCCGGAUGCCCUGUUUCAUGCCUCUGUUUUAUUCUAUGUCUUACCCUUGACCUGUGUGACGGUUGGUUUCAUGUAUCCACUUGGCUGGGCUAGAGUACCCAGUUAAUCAAUCAAACACUAAAUUAGGUGUUGCUCUGAAGAUGCUUUGUGGACGGGAUGCCUACAACCAGUUCACUUGAAGUAAAGGAGAUGAUCCAGGAUAACGUGGGUAGGCCUGAUCCAAUCAGUUGAAAAGCCUUAAGAGCAGACCUGAGGUUUCCCCAAGAAGAAGAAAUUCUGCGCGUGGAGGGCAGGCUCAGGUCCCACCCGGGGGUUCCCAGCCUGCCCUUCCCGCCAGCCUGCCCUUCCCGCCAGCCCGCCCUGCGGAUGGCAGACUUACCUCACCAGCCCCCACGCUCGUGCAAGCCAAUUCCUUGCACUCAAUAUCUCUUACUAUGUAUCUCCAAUAUUCUGCUUCUCUGUGCAUCCUACCUGAUGAAACCUGGAAGACGCUCCAUUCCCAAUGGAGCUGCCUGGGUGUACUAGGGAAAGCAGGGUACUGGAGCCAAUGAGUUAAGUCCUUAGUGCUAUGUCCUCAGGCAAGUUACAUCCUUCCAUGUAUAAUGGAGAUAACAGUAACCUUCUUCCAGGAUCUGGUGAGGAUGAGAUGACAGCAGGUGGAAAGCUACUAUGGUGUUGGUCCAGGGAUUUAUUACUCCCUCGGUCCUGGGAUUUAUUACUCCCUUUUCCCACAGUCAGUGCCCUAUGGAGCUGUCCAUUUGACCCCUGCAUCAACAUCCCUGCCCUCCUUGGCCCCAGAUGGCUGGGGCCAGGGGAUCCCUGACUCAUUGCCACAAAUGCAGGCAGGCUUACAAAGGUGCACUGUGUCAAAGAGAUUCUUCACUAGGGCUUGGUCACCAGCCAGGAAGGGCCAGUGGGCGUGUGCUGGUAUUCACUUGGAGGAGUGGGCCAGCAGGAGUUAUGGGGGAGUCCAGACUGUGCCCACCAGAGGAAGCAUUUGGGCAAAGAUUGAAAAAGAGAGCAGUUGUGUAGAGAGCUGGAGAUGCAAGUGAGCAGUCCUCGACGCUGCCUCAGUCUUGCUCUUCCUGGCUCUUAACCUGUGCAGGGCGUCCGUGUGUGCAAGUGUCCUGAGGCCCCUCAGUUGUGCCUGAGGCUCUCUAGCACCACCUAUGUUCACCUUGGCAGUUCCCUCGGGCAAUUGUUACCAAACUUGUUUUUGCCAAGAGAUCUUUUUUUUUUUUAAAGAUUUUAUUUAUUUAUUUGAGACAGAGAGAAUGAGAGACAGAGAGCAUGAGAGGGAGGAGGGUCAGAGGGAGAAGCAGACUCCCUGCCGAGCAGGGAGCCCGAUGCGGGACUCGAUCCUGGGACUCCAGGAUCAUGACCUGAGCCGAAGGCAGUCGCUUAACCAACUGAGCCACCCAGGCGCCCAAGAAAUCUUUUUUUCAACAGAAAUCUUAUUCAGAGGAACAAUAAAACAGAUCAAAAAUGAGCUCACGCAUUGGACGGCAGGUAGAAAUAGCUGCACAAGGAGACACACAUUUGCUGAGCCCUCUACCCCCCUCCCCAGCAGUUGCCCGGGUUCCCGCAGAACCAAGUUUAAAACCAUUGCCAUAGAGCAUUUAAAAGGGUCAAUUAUGGGAACAGAGGUUUUAGUUUCAAAUUUGUUCCUAAUUUUCAAAAUUACCCUGCACUUGGCUUUAAUCUAAAAAAAAAAAAAAAAUCGCUUGAAAAAAACACGAGCCAUGAAUGAGGAGCACAUGCUGUUCCUGCUACUGAGAGUUAGCGGUGUUGGGAAUCACUCGCCAUCUGUGUGCUGAUGUCCUGGACAGUCUACUCACAGCUUUCAAUUUCAAGGGAGCACGUUUGUGUGUCCAGGGGAAAUCGGCUGAAGUCCAUGUUGCACAUUGCAGUCACUGUAACCCUAGAAACAAAAAGACAAAAUACAAAUUUUCAGAGGCUGCAAAAUGAUGAACAGAAAAAGGCUCUGCUUCCUUCCAAUAUAACUGCCUCCUUAUAAUUCAUAAGCCAAGUGUCAAGAUUUAGAUAGUCAUUGUAGUACUCUGGGUUUUAUGUUUAACUCCAGAGUGUCUCUACCAACUUCUAUCAGAUUCAAGCAUAUUAACGAAGCAAUGGUCUCAAUCGAUAUAAAAAUGGGAAAUAAAAACUCUUAUGACAUUGUUUCUUAAAAGAAACCAUAGGACCAUAUAUUGUUCUCUGGUUUUAGAUAAAUUCCAAUUUUUUCUGUUCUUUUAUUGAUUUUACCCAUAUUCAAUAUUUGUAUACAACAUAUCAGAAAUAAUAUUAAUGAAACCCUUCUGCCAGUGGCCAAAUUGGGCACUUUUUUUUUACAAUGUUGAUAUAUUUAUAUUGAUAAUAAUUAUCUCCUAGUGGGCAUUGGUGUUUUUAGUGGAUAAUUCCAUGGAGAUCAUAGGGUAAUGAAAAGACACUGAAAACUUUUUUGUACCAGCAUGCAAGCACUUGCUGGCCUCUGAUGGUUUUGUUUCAGAGUUUACACAGGAAAAUGGGCUUCUGCAUCAAAGAAUAAAUAAACACAGAUCAUGAGUCACAGACGAAAGAUCUCCUGUCCCGUGGGGAAUCUCAUGGCAGGACAUGAAUAACAGUUAUUGGCUGAUACUGAACAAACUAUUUUUCCUUCAACCACAAAAAAAUUGCUAUGUAUAAGUUGUAGAAACUGUCUGGAUGAUUCAUGGCCAAAAGGGAAAAAAAAAUCACUUUUAAUUGAAAUGGAAAUUUCAAGGGAAAGAGCUUUCUUGAAACUGAAUUAUCCAAAUAUCUGCUUUAUUUUCCCCAUUCCAGUUGAGUCUGGCAUAGUUGUAAUCUGAAAAGGAUUGUCUAUUGCUGGCAGCUGGGUAGCCUUAUCUCCUCUGGAAAUCCUGAUAAACAGGGUGGAUUGAGUGGGGAGGAGUCAGGAUGGCAGCUGGACCCCUCAUGGGUGGGCUUCUGUUUCUACUAUACCUAAUGGCAUCCCCAGCAAGAAAGAAACUAGAACCUAAGUUUGGUGACUUAGAGCUAAUGAAAUCUCAAAUGUAGGAAGUUUUUGCUAUCAACAAAAGGAUUGAAUAUCUCUUCUCUUUGCAUUAGGAACAGAUAUUUUUAGAAUCACAGAUAUCAGACUGGUUCUUUGCACCCUGACCUGAUGUUUUUCCAACUUGUAACUCACACACCACACAUUAAGCACAGUUUGUGGUUUAGUCCAUACUAUGUUUAUUUUUGUUUCCCCAUGUCUCUUUAAAUUGAUUUAUUGGGGUGCAUCUGGAUGGCUCAGUCGGUUAAGUGUCCGACUCGUGAUUUCAGCUCAGGUCAUGAUCUCAGGGUAGUGAGAUCGAGCCCUACAUUGGGCUCUGCGCUGGGUAUGGAGCCUGCUUAAGAGCCUUGGGAGAGAGUUGUGGGCAUGCCAUGAACCUGACAAAUCUUUUCCUCUGCCCACAAUCAAGGCAUCUUUUUUUUUUUUCACUUAAAUCAAACAAACCUAUGAUUUCA